Molecule: unclassified non-coding RNA, 168 nt
Filed under: soil metagenome
Description: partial internal transcribed spacer 1
Source: RNAcentral
GUGAAUUAAACAUGCUUGGUGUCUUCGCUUCGGCAAGGCCCUUGCUUAAAUCACAUCCUAACACCUGUGAACUGUAAGACGUCUGAUGAGGUCUCUUGGCCAAGUCAUCGUCUGCCCAUUUUUAACAAACAAUUAAUGUAACAAACGUAGUCUUAUUAUAACCUAAUA